This 30-nucleotide non-coding RNA is filed under the name Homo sapiens (human). The record is from RNAcentral. Lineage: Eukaryota; Metazoa; Chordata; Mammalia; Primates; Hominidae.
UACACUGAUGCCUUAUUUGGAACUUAAAAG